Molecule: ribosomal RNA, 429 nt
Filed under: Gemmatimonadota bacterium
Lineage: Bacteria; Pseudomonadati; Gemmatimonadota
Description: Gemmatimonadetes bacterium partial 16S ribosomal RNA
Rfam family: Bacterial small subunit ribosomal RNA
Source: RNAcentral
UAGGGAAUCUUCGGCAAUGGACGAAAGUCUGACCGAGCGACGCCGCGUGAGUGAAGAAGGUUUUCGGAUCGUAAAACUCUGUUGUUAGAGAAGAACAAGGACGUUAGUAACUGAACGUCCCCUGACGGUAUCUAACCAGAAAGCCACGGCUAACUACGUGCCAGCAGCCGCGGUAAUACGUAGGUGGCAAGCGUUGUCCGGAUUUAUUGGGCGUAAAGCGAGCGCAGGCGGUUUCUUAAGUCUGAUGUGAAAGCCCCCGGCUCAACCGGGGAGGGUCAUUGGAAACUGGGAGACGUGAGUGAAGAAGAGGAGAGUGGAAUUCCAUGUGUAGCGGUGAAAUGCGUAGAUAUAUGGAGGAACACCAGUGGCGAAGGCGGCUCUCUGGUCUGUAACUGACGCUGAGGCUCGAAAGCGUGGGGAGCAAACAGG